Molecule: long non-coding RNA, 1574 nt
Organism: Salmo salar (Atlantic salmon)
Lineage: Eukaryota; Metazoa; Chordata; Actinopteri; Salmoniformes; Salmonidae
Product: recoverin
Source: RefSeq, a predicted model, not a curated record
CACAUCACUUCAUACUCUCUCUACUGCUGACACAGCUAGGUCAUGUCUCUUUGCUCUGCCUCCCUCUCUGUUCUUUCUCCCUGAUAGUGAAGGCUUUUGUUGAUGUAUGGUUCCUAGUGGUACACUGGGUAACACUUCAGUCAUUGUAGAGAUCUGAUUGUGCUGUGCUUGUUGGCACUACUUCAGAGAGCCUUCGACAAUAACCGAGAGAUCCCAGUACAGGCUAAUACGAUGGGGAAUGCCAAGAGCAGUGCUAUUUCCAAGGAGAUCCUGGAGGACCUGAAGCUCAACACCAAGUUCACGGAGAACGAGUUGUGCCAGUGGUACGAGAACUUCCAGAAGCAGUGUCCCACCGGACGCAUCUCGCCAGAGGAGUUCGAGACGAUCUACGCGCGCUUCUUCCCCGAUAGCGAAGCCAAGACCUACGCUCAGCAUGUGUUCCGUUCAUUCGACACCAACGAGGACGGCACUCUGGACUUCAAGGAAUACAUCAUUGCACUGCACAUGACCUCCAGUGGGAAGACGACGAGGAAGCUGGAGUGGGCCUUCUCACUGUUCGACGUGGACAAGAACGGAUACAUCACCAAGACAGAAGUGGAAGUCAUCUGCCAGGCCAUCUUUAACCUAAUCCCCAAGGAAGAUCUGCCCAAAUUACCGUCCGACGAGAAUACACCAGAGAAGAGAGCCAACAAACUGUGGGGAUUCUUUGAGAAAUCAGACAACGACCGGUUGGCAGAGGGAGAGUUCAUCAAGGGGGUGACCGAGAACGAAAACGCCAUGCGUCUCAUCCACUACGAACCCAUCACUGACUAGUCAUCCCUUCUUCUUUACCUCUUUCUCCUUCACACACUAUUUCUUCCUCUCAUCCACUAUCUUUGUCAUUGUAUUCUAGUGUUCUGUCUUUCUCUUCUGUGUAAAUACUCUUGUAUGGCGGUGUCUUAAUUGUCUUCACUGUACCUUCUAAGAAAGUAGGGGUUUAUGUUGGUUAUAGUAUACAUGUCUGUCUAUGCAUGUAUGUCUAUUGGAUUGAGGCUGUUUUAUGAAGGUAGAUGUGAUAAAUAUGAAGGUGUAGAUGGCCGUUAUUGUAAUUAGCGUUUGAUGCAAUAUAAACACAAUAGAAAAAUUGAGGCACGAGUAGAUUUAUUUGUUUGUAUAUUGAUACAAUAUCCCUGCUAAAUGCUGUUUCCGAUCAGAUUGAGGUUACAAUAGCUUUUUGGUACUGUGAGAUGAUUGUGAAAAAGUUGGUGGUCUAGUGUUUUGCAGUGUCCUGAAUACUCAUGGACUUGAUCAUUUGGUAACCAUUGUUCAUUCUAUACAUUUCAUUAUUCUAAGAAGCUCUAAAUGGUGUUGCUGUAGAAGGAAAACUUGAAAUGUGCAAAUGUGAUAAAUGGUAACAGUUUGGACACAGGUAUUUGGGAAAAGAAAUUGAAAAUCUGUAGAAUAACAAACCUUUUUCUCCAUUAGGAAUUUGCAUGGUCGUGAUGGUGGCUUUUAGAUUUUAUCCUGCAAUUGUCUUUUUGUUUUUAAUCAAGAGUUAUACGCUGCAUAUGGUGGAUUAAAGCUUUUCUCAUAAA